RNAcentral lists this unclassified non-coding RNA (253 nucleotides) under uncultured Parcubacteria group bacterium. Its description in RNAcentral is "contains 16S-23S intergenic spacer region". It matches the Rfam family "Bacterial small subunit ribosomal RNA", at positions 524 to 776 of the family's 1533-position model. The record is from RNAcentral.
UACAGAGACCUCAAGCGUUAUCCGGAUUUAUUGGGCGUAAAGCGCAGGUAGGCGGGCCUGUUAGUCGUAUGUUAAAGCCAGGGGCUUAACCCCUGAGAUGCAUACGAAACGGCAGGUCUGGAGAAUGUGAGAGAUCAGUGGAAUUGAUGGUGUAGUAGUGAAAUGCGUUGAUAUCAUCAAGAACACCCAAGGCGAAGGCAACUGAUUGGCACACUUCUGACGCUGAGCUGCGAAAGCGUGGGUAGCGAAUGGG